AACGAACGCUGGCGGCAUGCCUAACACAUGCAAGUCGAACGAGACCUUCGGGUCUAGUGGCGCACGGGUGCGUAACACGUGGGAAUUUGCCUCGGGGUAUGGAAUAACUCAGGGAAACUUGAGCUAAUACCAUAUAAUGUCUUCGGACCAAAGAUUUAUCGCCCUGAGAUAAGCCCGCGUAGGAUUAGCUAGUUGGUGGGGUAAAGGCUCACCAAGGCGACGAUCCUUAGCUGGUCUGAGAGGAUGAUCAGCCACACUGGGACUGAGACACGGCCCAGACUCCUACGGGAGGCAGCAGUGGGGAAUAUUGGACAAUGGGCGAAAGCCUGAUCCAGCAAUGCCGCGUGAGUGAUGAAGGCCUUAGGGUUGUAAAGCUCUUUUACCCGAGAUGAUAAUGACAGUAUCGGGAGAAUAAGCUCCGGCUAACUCCGUGCCAGCAGCCGCGGUAAAGU
Molecule: ribosomal RNA, 452 nt
Filed under: uncultured bacterium
Lineage: Bacteria
Description: bacterial SSU rRNA
Rfam family: Bacterial small subunit ribosomal RNA
Source: RNAcentral